UACGUAGGUGGCAAGCGUUGUCCGGAAUUAUUGGGCGUAAAGCGCGCGCAGGCGGUUUCUUAAGUCUGAUGUGAAAGCCCACGGCUCAACCGUGGAGGGUCAUUGGAAACUGGGGAACUUGAGUGCAGAAGAGAAGAGCGGAAUUCCACGUGUAGCGGUGAAAUGCGUAGAGAUGUGGAGGAACACCAGUGGCGAAGGCGGCUCUUUGGUCUGUAGCUGACGCUGAGGCGCGAAAGCGUGGGGAGCAAACAGG
This 253-nucleotide ribosomal RNA is filed under the name uncultured bacterium. Its description in RNAcentral is "partial 16S ribosomal RNA". It matches the Rfam family "Bacterial small subunit ribosomal RNA", at positions 524 to 776 of the family's 1533-position model. The record is from RNAcentral.